AGAGUUUGAUCCUGGCCCAGAUUGAACGCUGGCGGCAUGCCUUACACAUGCAAGUCGAACGGCAGCACGAGAGCUUGCUCUUGGUGGCGAGUGGCGAACGGGUGAGUAAUAUAUCGGAACGUACCCUAGAGUGGGGGAUAACGUAGCGAAAGUUACGCUAAUACCGCAUACGAUCUACGGAUGAAAGUGGGGGAUCGCAAGACCUCAUGCUCAUGGAGCGGCCGAUAUCUGAUUAGCUAGUUGGUGGGGUAAAAGCUCACCAAGGCGACGAUCAGUAGCUGGUCUGAGAGGACGACCAGCCACACUGGAACUGAGACACGGUCCAGACUCCUACGGGAGGCAGCAGUGGGGAAUUUUGGACAAUGGGCGCAAGCCUGAUCCAGCAAUGCCGCGUGAGUGAAGAAGGCCUUCGGGUUGUAAAGCUCUUUUGUCAGGGAAGAAACGGUGGACUCUAAUACAGAUCACUAAUGACGGUACCUGAAGAAUAAGCACCGGCUAACUACGUGCCAGCAGCCGCGGUAAUACGUAGGGUGCAAGCGUUAAUCGGAAUUACUGGGCGUAAAGCGUGCGCAGGCGGUUGUGCAAGACAGAUGUGAAAUCCCCGGGCUCAACCUGGGAAUUGCAUUUGUGACUGCACGGCUAGAGUGUGUCAGAGGGGGGUAGAAUUCCACGUGUAGCAGUGAAAUGCGUAGAGAUGUGGAGGAAUACUGAUGGCGAAGGCAGCCCCCUGGGAUAACACUGACGCUCAUGCACGAAAGCGUGGGGAGCAAACAGGAUUAGAUACCCUGGUAGUCCACGCCCUAAACGAUGUCUACUAGUUGUCGGGUCUUAAUUGACUUGGUAACGCAGCUAACGCGUGAAGUAGACCGCCUGGGGAGUACGGUCGCAAGAUUAAAACUCAAAGGAAUUGACGGGGACCCGCACAAGCGGUGGAUGAUGUGGAUUAAUUCGAUGCAACGCGAAAAACCUUACCUACCCUUGACAUGUCUGGAAUCCUUGAGAGAUCAGGGAGUGCUCGAAAAAGAAUCAGAACACAGGUGCUGCAUGGCUGUCGUCAGCUCGUGUCGUGAGAUGUUGGGUUAAGUCCCGCAACGAGCGCAACCCUUGUCAUUAGUUGCUACGAAAGGGCACUCUAAUGAGACUGCCGGUGACAAACCGGAGGAAGGUGGGGAUGACGUCAAGUCCUCAUGGCCCUUAUGGGUAGGGCUUCACACGUCAUACAAUGGUACAUACAGAGGGCCGCCAACCCGCGAGGGGGAGCUAAUCCCAGAAAGUGUAUCGUAGUCCGGAUUGUAGUCUGCAACUCGACUACAUGAAGUUGGAAUCGCUAGUAAUCGCGGAUCAGCAUGUCGCGGUGAAUACGUUCCCGGGUCUUGUACACACCGCCCGUCACACCAUGGGAGCGGGUUUCACCAGAAGUGGGUAGCCUAACCGCAAGGAGGGCGCUCACCACGGUGGGAUUCGUGACUGGGGUGAAGUCGUAACAAGGUA
Molecule: ribosomal RNA, 1491 nt
Filed under: metagenome
Description: bacterial SSU rRNA
Rfam family: Bacterial small subunit ribosomal RNA
Source: RNAcentral